CAGGACUCCAGGCUGAAGGAAAUAACCCGACAGGUGCUCAAUGUGAAACCAAAUUCGAGGCUGACAUUGUUCUGUUGGUGGACGACUCUGGGAGCGCCUUUGACACCAUCAAGUCCUUUGUCACUAGACUAGUUCAAGGUUUUGACAUCGGCCCAGAUAAAGUCCAAAUUGGUCUGGUUCAGUACAGUGGCGCCCCAAGGACC
Non-coding RNA from Plectropomus leopardus (leopard coralgrouper), 203 nucleotides. Lineage: Eukaryota; Metazoa; Chordata; Actinopteri; Perciformes; Serranidae. The record is from RefSeq and is a predicted model, not a curated record.